ACCCUUGGUCAGGUUGAAGUUCAGGUAACACUGAAUGGAGGACCGAACCGACUUACGUUGAAAAGUGAGCGGAUGAACUGAGGGUAGCGGAGAAAUUCCAAUCGAACCUGGAGAUAGCUGGUUCUCUCCGAAAUAGCUUUAGGGCUAGCCUCAAGUGAUGAUUAUUGGAGGUAGAGCACUGUUUGGACGAGGGGCCCCUCUCGGGUUACCGAAUUCAGACAAACUCCGAAUGCCAAUUAAUUUAACUUGGGAGUCAGAACAUGGGUGAUAAGGUCCGUGUUCGAAAGGGAAACAGCCCAGACCACCAGCUAAGGUCCCAAAAUAUAUGUUAAGUGGAAAAGGAUGUGGCGUUGCCCAGACAACUAGGAUGUUGGCUUAGAAGCAGCCAUCAUUUAAAGAGUGCGUAAUAGCUCACUAGUCGAGUGACACUGCGCCGAAAAUGUACCGGGGCUAAACAUAUUACCGAAGCUGUGGAUUGUCCUUUGGACAAUGGUAGGAGAGCGUUCUAAGGGCGUUGAAGCAUGAUCGUAAGGACAUGUGGAGCGCUUAGAAGUGAGAAUGCCGGUGUGAGUAGCGAAAGACGGGUGAGAAUCCCGUCCACCGAUUGACUAAGGUUUCCAGAGGAAGGCUCGUCCGCUCUGGGUUAGUCGGGUCCUAAGCUGAGGCCGACAGGCGUAGGCGAUGGAUAACAGGUUGAUAUUCCUGUACCACCUAUAAUCGUUUUAAUCGAUGGGGGGACGCAGUAGGAUAGGCGAAGCGUGCGAUUGGAUUGCACGUCUAAGCAGUAAGGCUGAGUAUUAGGCAAAUCCGGUACUCGUUAAGGCUGA
This 827-nucleotide ribosomal RNA is filed under the name Staphylococcus aureus. Its description in RNAcentral is "partial 23S ribosomal RNA". It matches the Rfam family "Bacterial large subunit ribosomal RNA", at positions 732 to 1559 of the family's 2925-position model. Lineage: Bacteria; Bacillati; Bacillota; Bacilli; Caryophanales; Staphylococcaceae. The record is from RNAcentral.